RNAcentral lists this ribosomal RNA (210 nucleotides) under uncultured bacterium. RNAcentral's name for it is "partial 16S ribosomal RNA". It matches the Rfam family "Bacterial small subunit ribosomal RNA", at positions 1295 to 1500 of the family's 1533-position model. The record is from RNAcentral.
GGAUUGUAGGCUGAAACUCGCCUACAUGAAGCUGGAGUUACUAGUAAUCGCAGAUCAGAAUGCUGCGGUGAAUGCGUUCCCGGGUCUUGUACACACCGCCCGUCACACCACGGAAGUUGGGGGCGCCCGAAGCCACUUAGCUAACCCUUUUGGGAAGCGAGUGUCGAAGGUGAAAUCAAUUAACGUGGGGUGAAGUCGUAACAAGGUACC